CUUCACCGACCCCAACCACAACGGCCGAUCACCAGGCCGACCCUGACCAUAGGUCGCCAACAACGCCUGUGCCUC
Molecule: antisense RNA, 75 nt
Filed under: Micromonospora zamorensis
Lineage: Bacteria; Bacillati; Actinomycetota; Actinomycetes; Micromonosporales; Micromonosporaceae
Description: ASpks TB sRNA
Rfam family: ASpks TB sRNA
Source: RNAcentral